GAAACCGAUAAGGUGGAAACGGAUAGAGCUGACGUAUCUAGCUUGUAUUCAGCUGCUGUUUUGCGCAGGCCGAUUUGGCCGAUCCUGCUUUUGGUUGGUCGAUUCGCGCUGUGCGUGAUCCAGUAGUGCAUUUGCAAGUGGAGUGCGCCGAGAGAUACACUGCAGCGGUGGAAUGCCCGCUUUGAGGACCCUCUUCGGAGGGAAACCCGAACGGGCGGAAAACUGUUUGCGGUGUGCGCUAGCAGGAGUAUGGACUUAACACGAGUCGGUUGGCCGGUGAGUCUACGACGGGCAGCGGUCGCAUGCGAACGUUUCCGCUGUGGGCUUGCUUGCUGGCUUGGCUCUCAUACUCGAUCUCGGUGUAAAAGUCGGUCAUCUAUCCGACCCGUCUUGAAACACGGACCAAGGAGUUUAACAAAUAUGCGAGUCAUUGAGUGUUGAAAACUCAAAGGCGAAAUGAAAGUAAAGGCACCUUUAAUGGGCUGAUAUGCGAUCUUGGGCGUUUCGGCGCACGAGCGCAGCAUAGCCCCAUCCCGAUUGCUUGCAAUGGGGUGGAGGUAGAGCAUAUUUGCUGAGACCCGAAAGAUGGUGAACUAUGCCUGAGCAGGACGAAGCCAGAGGAAACUCUGGUGGAAGUCCGAAGCGGUUCUGACGUGCAAAUCGAUCGUCUGA
This 672-nucleotide ribosomal RNA is filed under the name Ditylenchus sp. KP7. RNAcentral describes it as "partial large subunit ribosomal RNA". It matches the Rfam family "Eukaryotic large subunit ribosomal RNA", at positions 401 to 909 of the family's 3401-position model. Lineage: Eukaryota; Metazoa; Nematoda; Chromadorea; Rhabditida; Anguinidae. The record is from RNAcentral.